Homo sapiens (human) is the source of this 1328-nucleotide long non-coding RNA. Ensembl annotates it as long intergenic non-protein coding RNA 2268. Lineage: Eukaryota; Metazoa; Chordata; Mammalia; Primates; Hominidae. The record is from Ensembl.
AAUACAGUACAGAUCUCUGUACUGUAAACGACAACAAGGACCAGUCACAAUUUCAGUUCUUGUUACAUUGAUAAGACUCCUUCAGAAAGCAAUGAAGAGAAAAGCUGAAGUCAGUGAUUAGGAGUGUCUGUGUAAGUAAAAGCAACAGGCAAUUACUGAGUGUGGUGUGAGAGGCACGGAAAGAUUGGGAAUUCAGCAAGAAGAGGAAUUGAAGUCAAACCUCACCUACUUCCCAGAGUCUUCUGGAUUUUCUGUUAGAAGCUUCAGUAUCUGAGGAAAGGACUCAGGCAACAAAUAAACAGCUAAGAUUUUACUAGAGUAUGAAAGGGAGAGCACUGGAGUGCAGUGCGGGGAUGGAGAUGCAGCUGUGGUGGCUGGAAGUACAGGAGGGCAGCUGGAGGCACCUGGCCUCUGAAGCCUGUCUUCUUCAUCUGGGUGAGAUCUGCUGGAGUCAGGAAGGACUUCCUGCUGCAAGGAUAAAGACCUAAGAAGCAUCAUGACCUGAGAAACAGUUUCACAGGCCACUCUUGGCAGGUGAAGUGUGGUGGCGUAAUCAUGACUCACUGCAGCCUCGAACUCCGGGACUCAAGCUAAUCUCUUUCCUCAGCCUUCCCAGCAGCUGGGACUACAGGUAUAUGCCACCAAACCUAGCUAACAUUUUAAAAAAUUUUUUCUUUUGUAGAAACGGGGUCUUGCUAUGUUGACCAGGCUGGUUUUAAACUCCUUGCCUCAAGUGAUCCUCCCAUCAUUGCCUCCCAAAGUCUUGGGAUUACAGGCAUGAGCCACUGCGCCCAGCUACAAUAUAUUUUGGAUGCUGACUUUAUAUCCUGUGACUUUGCUAUGGUCGCUUAUUAUUUCUAGACAUUUUUGUUUUUGACAGAGUCUCACUGUUUUGCUUAGGCUGGAGUGCAGUGGCACAAUCUUCAUUCACUGCAACCUCUGCCUCCUGGGUUCAGGCUAUUCUCCUGCCACAGCCUUCAGAGUAGCUGGGACUGCAGGCACGCAACACCAUGCCCGGCUAAUUUUUGUAUUUUUAGUAGAGACAGGGGAAUCACGAUGUUGGUCAGGCUGGUCUCGAACUCCUGACCUCAAGUGAUCUGCCUGCCUCGGCCUCCCAAAGUGUUGGAAUUACAGGCGUGAGCCACCAUGCCUGGCCACGGUUUUUUUGAUCCUUUAGGAUUUUCUACCAAGACUGUCAUGUCAUCUAUAAUCAAGUACUCUUUUAUUUCUUUUUUUCCAAUUUGUUUGUAUUUUAUUUCUUUUUUCUCAAAGCUUAUUGUACUGACUAAGAUCCCCAGAAUAAUGUUGAAUAAAAGUAUUGGAAACAG